UACGGGGGGAGCAAGCGUUGUUCGGAUUUACUGGGCGUAAAGGGCGCGUAGGCGGCCAGCACAAGUCAGUUGUGAAAUCUCCGAGCUUAACUCGGAACGGUCAACUGAUACUGUGCGGCUAGAGUGCGGAAGGGGCAACUGGAAUUCUUGGUGUAGCGGUGAAAUGCGUAGAUAUCAAGAGGAACACCUGAGGUGAAGACGGGUUGCUGGGCUGACACUGACGCUGAGGCGCGAAAGCUAGGGUAGCAAACGGG
Molecule: ribosomal RNA, 254 nt
Filed under: uncultured bacterium
Lineage: Bacteria
Description: partial 16S ribosomal RNA
Rfam family: Bacterial small subunit ribosomal RNA
Source: RNAcentral